GACAGAGGUGCCAAGCGUUAGGCGGAAUCACUGGGCUUAAAGCGUGUGUAGGUGGAUCGGUAAGUACCUUGUGAAAUCCCACGACUCAAUCGUGGAACUGCUUGGUAUACUGCCAGUCUUGAGGUACUCAGGGGCAAGCGGAACAGAUGGUGGAGCGGUGAAAUGCGUAGAUAUCAUCUGGAACGCCAAUGGUGAAGACAGCUUGCUGGGGGUAUUCUGACACUGAGACACGAAAGCCAGGGGAGCAAACGGG
This 253-nucleotide ribosomal RNA is filed under the name uncultured bacterium. RNAcentral describes it as "partial 16S ribosomal RNA". It matches the Rfam family "Bacterial small subunit ribosomal RNA", at positions 524 to 776 of the family's 1533-position model. The record is from RNAcentral.